Molecule: ribosomal RNA, 360 nt
Filed under: Triticum aestivum (bread wheat)
Lineage: Eukaryota; Viridiplantae; Streptophyta; Magnoliopsida; Poales; Poaceae
Description: partial small subunit ribosomal RNA
Source: RNAcentral
AUGCUUGUCAGCGUGCUAAGAGUCACCAGUUACCAUAUAAUUAUUCUACUCGUGUUUCUACAUCACCACUUGAGCUUAUUCAUACCGAUGUUUGGGGGCCUACUUUGCCAUCUUCAAAACUAUGUCAGCUUCAUUGAUGACUAUAGUCGUUACUGCUGGAUAUACUUGAUCAAGCAUAAAUCUGAGGUUGAGAGCAUUUUUUACACUUUUCAAAACCAUGUUGAGCGUCUCUUGAAUGCUAAGAUUCGUUCUGUUCAGUCAGACUGGGGGGUGAGUAUCACCGUCUCCAUGCUUAUUUUCAACGCACCGGCAUUGCUCAUCGUGUGUCUUGUCCACAUACCUCCCAACAAAAUGGUAUAG